UUGGGGUCAGAUUUCUGCUGCUGGAAUGCCCAGCGACACACAUUGUCAAGGCUUCUAGAUGGAUUACCUCUUUCAAUCAAACUGAUGGACUGUAAAAAGACAUAAAAGGAUGGAAAGAUUUUAUAUGGAAACCAUUUAUUUGGCCUUUCAACUCCUGGAGGAAAUAGUUCCUUCCCCACUGGUGCUGCUGACUUGGAGAUAAGGAAAAAAGAUUUAAGCCUGCCACAUCAGACUGGAGCAGCAAAGAAUACAUCAGGAG
Hyla sarda is the source of this 259-nucleotide long non-coding RNA. RefSeq lists it as uncharacterized. NCBI's taxonomy places the organism in Eukaryota, Metazoa, Chordata, Amphibia, Anura, Hylidae. The transcript is spliced from 3 exons. The record is from RefSeq and is a predicted model, not a curated record.